UACGUAGGGGGCAAGCGUUGUCCGGAUUUAUUGGGCGUAAAGAGCGUGUAGGCGGCUAGGUAGGUCCGCUGUGAAAACUCGAGGCUCAACCUCAAGACGUCGGUGGAAACCAUCUAGCUAGAGUCCCGAAGAGGAGAGCGGAAUUCCCGGUGUAGCGGUGAAAUGCGCAGAUAUCGGGAGGAACACCCGUGGCGAAGGCGGCUCUCUGGGACGGUACUGACGCUGAGACGCGAAAGCGUGGGGAGCGAACAGG
This 253-nucleotide ribosomal RNA is filed under the name uncultured bacterium. RNAcentral describes it as "partial 16S ribosomal RNA". It matches the Rfam family "Bacterial small subunit ribosomal RNA", at positions 524 to 776 of the family's 1533-position model. The record is from RNAcentral.